GUUUGAGUGAUGACUUCAAUUGUCGGAUACCCCUUCACCCCGUUCAUGGGUGAAACAAUUAGUCUGACAAAC
Small nucleolar RNA from Acomys russatus (golden spiny mouse), 72 nucleotides. RefSeq annotates it as small nucleolar RNA SNORD101. The transcript has a single exon. The record is from RefSeq and is a predicted model, not a curated record. NCBI's taxonomy places the organism in Eukaryota, Metazoa, Chordata, Mammalia, Rodentia, Muridae.